Long non-coding RNA from Equus caballus (horse), 3593 nucleotides. NCBI's taxonomy places the organism in Eukaryota, Metazoa, Chordata, Mammalia, Perissodactyla, Equidae. The record is from Ensembl.
UGAAUUGCCAGAGCAGCCAUGGACCAUAGCUUCUGCCACGCUGUGGGCAGUUUUGAUGAGGAGAAGGGUCCCCUUUCAGGCCCUCCCAUCUGGGAUGUUCAGAAGCAGUUAUAGGAAUGGCGGCACUGGCUGGGUCCCGGGAGGAUAAACAGACGGAGUUGGCUUGUCCUCUCUGAGUAGACGACUGGGAGAAGUCAGACGUGAGAGCAGUUUGAGAAAGCUGUUUCAUCCAUAAAAUGUUUGAUGACCUUGUCCAUGUCAUUAAUGGCAUAUUAUUGUGAAAUAGACCCACGUGCCUCAGAAAUGGCCUCAUGCCCGACUCAGCUAAGCUUGUCAGUGAUCUCCUGACUUAUUUUCAAUUUGGAAUUCUAAACAGAGUCCAAAAUUCUAGGCCAAGGCAAAAAUUUCGAGAAGAAAACAUGCCAAUUCUAGCUCAAGAGACAGGAUAAAAUGUCUUUGCCGUUGGUGCUGAAAGGAGACAGACAAUAGGCCACAGGCAGGGGAUACGCAUGAAGGGUGGAGCUCAAGACCUCAGCUGCUUUCCUCCAGGAGUUUGGUCUGGGAGACAUCACGUGAAAAUGAACACAAAGGGCAAUCCUACAAGCCAAAAGACAGAUAUGACUGAGACGCCUCCUGCCAUCGAGAAGCUCAUAAUCUACUGGACUAUAAACCUCCAUCUCUAGAAGGCUCAGAGAAAAUCCCAUUCACCAAGGCCGUAAUGUACCUGCAUCACCAGGAAGCUCCAUGGUGGCCCCCCUCUGCAGACAGUGGGAGAGGUUUCUACAGAGCUGGGCUCGCUGAACGCAAGAGGGAUGAUAGGACCCUGGAACAAGAGUGGCUAUGUGGUGACGCAACUCUCAGAAAUCAGGUGAAUGCAAUGAUCAUAAUCAGCAAAAAGCUCAGAGGGGCAAUCAAGGAAGGCUGGACCACAGAAUGUGAUGGAGAUGGAGACCACAUCCCCAGGGGCAAAAUACCUGUCAACAAGAGCACUACGCAACUUGUGCCAUUGGAAGAAAUCGAGGAUGGAUAUUCAGGAGGCCGGUGGUGGGUACCGCAAUAAAAGUCCCAAUAACUUGCCCCAGAGUUGGAAAACUCUGAACCCCUUGACUGAGAGGAGGGCCAGGUCUCCAAGAAAAAGGACCAUGCAACACCUGGGUGAAUGGGCACAGCCAAGAUACCUUGAGGUCUUCCUCAAAGGGAUCUAAGGACUCAGGGAACUCUUCACCAGGAAAAGGGGAAUAUCAAGUUUUUGGAGAACUGCGGGAGGUGACUGAUAUGUGGAGACCUGAAGAGUCAUCAUGGCCCUCUCGCUCUGUUGUGUGGGACAGAGGGCAGCCAAGCAAUAAGUAAAAUCUUGCCUGUGGUCUGGUGGCUCACAGUGGUUUCAAUAGGUCCACAGAUCCAAUCAGUUGUCGUUUCCCCCAUCUCCAAAUGUAUAACCGGGGUAGAUAUUCUCAGAACUUGGCACAACCUUCACAGUGGGUCUUUGGCCUGUGGGAUGGGAGCUUUCAAUGGGGAAAGCCAAGUGGAAUUUUCUAAAGCUACCCCCAUUCACAUAGCCAAGAUAGCAAAUAAAACAUGUGUAUGAUAUAUAUUUCAUCCUGGGGGAAGGAAGAAUAUGGGGGCAGUGAGGAGAGGGGACUAUGGGAUGUAUAAGAGGAGAGAGGGGCAGAUGGCUGAAGUUAGUGCUACCCUUAGGGAUCUAAAAGGUAGCAGGUUGGUUCUCCCUGUUAUAUCUCCAUUUAAUUAACCUGUCUGGCUCCUGAAGGAUCCAGGUUGGUCCUGGAGGCCAAGAGUGGACGACGGCAACUCAACCAAGUAGCCCGCCCAAACUGGGCCCAAUGAGGUAUUCUUGCUAGAGCAGAUUCACACAGCCUCCAGUACAUGGGAUGCAACCAUGGGUUUGGUAAAUGUGUUCUCUAUGGCUGUCAGAAAGGAGAUCAGAAAGAGUUUGCAUCUGCUUGAUACAUUUCUUUGCAGUUCACAAUACACAUUCACACUUUUGCCCCAGGGCUAUCUUAACUAUGCCUGAAGAAGUGUGGACCCAUGAGACAUCAUGCAGAACACCGACCCACUACAUCAAUGAUCUUUCCUAGGGAUCCCUGAGAUCCUGACUCCCUGUCAUGGGAUCUGGAGUAACAGCGCCGUGGACCAGGGCAUCUACUUGGUAAUGAAAGAAAUGAGCAUACAACUACAGAAUCUGCUGGCCCAUAAGCCCUAUAAACCAAAAUCUAAGGACCUGACAGAAGGUUGAGAUGCAUUCCUGGGCUACUGCCAGGACUCCACCUUGGGGUGACACCCUGCAAGGACACUGUACAACACAUGGAAUAUUCUUAGGCCUUUAUUUGGUUCCAAAGUGUUUAAAUUAUACUGAAACAGAAACAAGAGGCUGGGAUCUGCCUCUAAUAUUUUAAUAUGUUUAAUUUUUUGGCUUUUAACGAUGAUCUGAAAAGACCACCCAGCAGAAGAGUGAAAGUAGAGAACAAUGACAUUAAAUUUAAAACAAAUCAUUGUAAUUCACAGGUUAGCCUGCAGAUGGUGCCAUAUUACUACUUUUUCUCUUUGCUUUUUCUUCGCUUUAAACCAUCACCUUGACUGCCGUGGGUCAGUGUCCGUCUGGUUGUGACAAACGGGAAGGCAGGCCACAGUCACUGAUUCUCAAAACAUUUGGAGUGGAUUUUAUACUGUCUGAUGUGCAAUCUUCCUUCAAAGAAAGAUAGAUGGUAUUGCUAAUAAAAUUAAAACAGCUCCAAGAAUGGCAGAAUGUAAUGGAAUUUAGGGAGCCUUCUGUCUAACUAUCAGCAGAUAAGAAAGUUAUUUCCUCAAAAUAAUACAGCCAGUAAUUGUCAGGGACAAGCCUCUGCUUCUGACCUUCAGUCACAAGUUAGCCUUAGUUCUGUUACCCCGUUAUUGUCUUCUCACAGGUUAGGGUAAACAUUAUCUCGAGAAUUUGAGAACAUCCUUAUUGGAGAUAGUUUUUAAACCCUGGUUGGCAAUAAUUAACACCCUUGAAUGGGCAGUAGAUUGUACAAACACCACAUGGAAAUGUCAUUGCUUGAUUACAGCAAAGUAAAAAGCCACUAGUCUACAGACUCAGAUUAAAUAUGGAAUAACACAUUUAAGAAACCAGAGAGUAUUUAUGAUUAAGAAGUGGGAAGGAGGAUUAUGGGAUGUGUAAGGGUGGAGGCGGCACAAUUAACGUAUUUUUUGUGCCAUGCACAGUUGUACAUGUUUCUGGGAAAAUAACAGAUCCAAUUAAUUAAUCUUGUCCAUUGGCAGAGUGGGCAAUGAAAUAUACAGUAUGGCUUCAGGGGCACUGGAAAGUAUUCCUGAAUCAUUUGCUCUUAAGUUGAGUUCAAGUUUUUCUGCCCAUUGUGGUACCAUUAAGGCUUAUCGAGAUGUGGGGUCCUGUGUACUAGGUGGGCACUGGUGAAAUGUGACCGUAAGGCGGAGAUUCUCAUACUUUUUGUUUAGAAGAACACUCUACGGUAUUAAAAGUUAUUAAGCACCCCAAAGAGCUUUUGUUUUUGUGGGUUACCGCCAUCGAUAUCCACCAUAUUAGACAUUAAAACAGAAAAAUUUUAAAAUACAAG